UACGUAGGUGGCUAGCGUUGUCCGGAUUUACUGGGCGUAAAGAGCGCGCAGGCGGUCGUUCAAGUCGAGUGUGAAAGCCCCCGGCUCAACUGGGGAGGGUCACUCGAUACUGAUCGACUCGAAGGCAGGAGAGGGAAGCGGAAUUCCCGGUGUAGUGGUGAAAUGCGUAGAUAUCGGGAGGAACAUCAGUGGCGAAGGCGGCCACCUGGACCAGCACUGACACUGAGGCACGAAAGCGUGGGGAGCAAACAGG
Molecule: ribosomal RNA, 253 nt
Filed under: uncultured bacterium
Lineage: Bacteria
Description: partial 16S ribosomal RNA
Rfam family: Bacterial small subunit ribosomal RNA
Source: RNAcentral